CCCUACGGGGCGCAGCAGGCGCGAAAACUUUACAAUGCUGGAAACAGCGAUAAGGGGACCUCGAGUGCCAGGUUACAAAUCUGGCUGUCGUGAUGCCUAAAAAGCAUUGCAUAGCAAGGGCCGGGCAAGACCGGUGCCAGCCGCCGCGGUAACACCGGCGGCUCGAGUGGUAACCGUUAUUAUUGGGUCUAAAGGGUCUGUAGCCGGCCGGAUAAGUCUCUUGGGAAAUCUGGCAGCUUAACUGUCAGGCUUUCAGGAGAUACUGUCUGGCUCGAGGCCGGGAGAGGUGAGAGGUACUUCAGGGGUAGGGGUGAAAUCUUGUAAUCC
Molecule: ribosomal RNA, 327 nt
Filed under: uncultured archaeon
Lineage: Archaea
Description: bacterial SSU rRNA
Rfam family: Archaeal small subunit ribosomal RNA
Source: RNAcentral